GGACACUCAACUGACUGAGCCACCCAGGCACCCCUAAUUAAGAACUGGUUCCCUUGUAAGUAUGGGAUGAAGGCAAUGGAAGCUGGACGGAAGAAACUCAGGGGCCCUCUCUGCCUGGUGUCCUGGAAUUCAGGCUCUGCCUGGAAGGUGUAGGACUUCCUCCAUGCCCUCCACACACUGGUGAGCUUCUGGAGGCCCCACGGGAUUCAAAUACAACACCAUCAAUCUCUGGACUGCCCCCAUGAUGGUGGGGUGUCCAGCGAUGGGCUGCUCCAGAGCAGAGCAGUGGAAGCAACUGGAAGAUACUUCCCAGCCACCUACAAGGUUCCCAUGUCAAAAGAAGGAGGAGCAUCCUUCGUCCCUCUGCUGCCAAAUACUUACUGAGCACCGGGUCUAGCACAGAGCCAUGAAUGGACAAGGCACAGUUCUUUCCCAGUUGAAAAGACAAAGAAAUAGUAUCUGGUGGAGAAAGAACAAGUUAGAGAUAAAUCAUGAAAUGAGCUUUGGCUCAGGGCACGGGCUGUGCUGAAGGUCAGUCACAGGUGGACUUUUUGGCCCCAACAGGCUCAUCUGUCCAGACCGGCCGUGGAGGAGCCACCCGUGGUACUGCCAUCUCUUUAAACAUUUUGGGACUCAUCUUGGAGACUUGCCUUUUGAGGCUCAGCACAUUCUCUGGGUUAGCUUCAAGGGGCAAAACUGGACUUUUUGUGGAUGAGUAGGAGUUUUGGAAAGAACCAAAAGUCAUUCGUAGCAUAAUGUAGAGAGAAGUUGAACCCCCGUGUUGCACACCUGAAACUAAUGUCAACUAUAACUAUUAUGUGUCAAUGCAAAUAAAACAAAUUAAAAAAAAAAAAGCCAUUCUAGCCAAA
Long non-coding RNA from Leopardus geoffroyi (Geoffroy's cat), 869 nucleotides. RefSeq lists it as uncharacterized. The transcript has 2 exons. NCBI's taxonomy places the organism in Eukaryota, Metazoa, Chordata, Mammalia, Carnivora, Felidae. The record is from RefSeq and is a predicted model, not a curated record.